AACGCACCUUGCGCUCCUGGGCUAUUCCUAGGAGCAUGCCUGUUUGAGUGUCUUGAAAUCAUCAACCCCAGUUGGAUUUGAAAUUUGACUGGUGGCUUGGACUUGGGGGUUUGCUGGCCGUUUUGAUUCGGUCUGGCUCCCCUUGAAUGUAUUAGCCAGACUUCGGUUCGCAGCGGCUUAGCGGUGUGAUAAUAUCUUCACUGCGGCCGGCUCGGCAGUGUCAAGUUCGGCUUCUAAUCGUCCGUCUCGGACAACUUCAUUGACAAUCUGACCUCAAAUCAGGUAGGACUACCCGCUGAACUUAA
RNAcentral lists this ribosomal RNA (305 nucleotides) under uncultured fungus. RNAcentral's name for it is "eukaryotic LSU rRNA". Lineage: Eukaryota; Fungi. The record is from RNAcentral.